CGUAAAGCCUUGAUAGUUUUCCCAAGCAGAGGAAAGCAAACCCCAAUAGCUCCAGCAACGAGAAUGGAAGCUAAAGCAGCCAUCUUGUAUUUGUGCGCCAGUGGCUUAUUCCGAUCUUCAUCUUCAGGUUCGCACAUGCAGUCUCCUCUUCCUAGGGAAGGAAAUAAGAUGAGAAAGCAGCAAAGAAACAUCGAGAGCUGAGUUUGUUUAAAGUUGGUCAUGGCUGGAAAUGAAAACCGAAUCCAAUUGAGGCUAAAAAAAAAUAGAAAAAGAGAAGUUUUGGAGAGAGUGAAUAAAGAAGUGUUGUUUAUAUAGGGCAAACUAGGGCAGGGCAAAUUAUUCUGGCCCUACGAUAUGUGAGAUUGAAUAAAGAAGUGUUGGUCUUAUUUGUCAGAUUGGUGAGAUCGGCAGGACGAUUUGGUCAACUGAUGUUGAAAAUUUAAAUACUUUUUUACUGUAUUUGUAUAUUAUAGAAAAAUAAUGAGCUCAUUUUUACAAAUAAUAAUUUUAAUAAAUUUUAAUUUUUAAAAUCACAAUAAAUGAAAGUGACUUCUAAAAUCUUAAAAUCUUAUAAUUUUAAUUUUAUGUGUAAUGUAUUAAACUUGAAAAGAAGUCAAAUCUUAACAAAAAAAGUUUAUAUACCUCGGUCUCAUAUAAAAAAUUGUAUUACUAUAUUAUAAUAUAUAUGUGUGGGCACAUGUAAACUUAAACUUAUGAAACAUGAGAUGAAAUUAUUAAAUUUUUUAUUAAAAUAAAUAUUAUCUCAUAAAUUAAAUGCAGAUUUUUAUAUAAAUAAUUUAAAAUUUUUUCUUAAUUAAAAAUGCUAAAAUUUGCAAAUUUAGGAGAAUUAACGCGAAGACUUAGAGAUCUUAAGAACAACCAGAGGUGUUCAAAGAAUGUCAACAUAAUAAUCAUUAAGAAGAAAAUUCAAAGGCUUUCCAUUGUUAACGCCAAGCUUAAAUUGGUAAAAUUCAAAAAGAAUGCCAAUAUUAUUUAGAAGCCAGCUUUCUCUGCUUGGCAGGAAGAUGGUUAUCACAUUCCUUGGGGUAUUUUUGGCAAGAAGAUAGUGAUCUGUUCAUUUCCUAAAAGAGAAAAAAAAAAAAAAAAAGGGUUUUCCGUGGUCCUUUCCAACAUUCAUGGUACACUACACUAAGAAAAUAGCCUGUCGAUUUUUUUUUCUAAUAUAAUUAUAACGAUUUGAAAUUUUAUGGUAAAAAAAUUAAAUAUAAUUUUGAAUAAAAUUUAAAUUUGAUAAGAUCAUUAUCAAGCUAAACUCAAACAUGAGUAAUUCAACUUAUUGAACGAAUUGAAUUCAAACAUCUUAAUAUCUCAUUCAAAUAAGUCAUCAACUUAAUUGAAUUUUUAUAUUUUAAUAUAUAUUUUUUAUUAUUUUAAUUAAAAAUAUUAUUUUACCUUUAUAUAUCAAUUUAAGUCAGAGUUAGAAUUUGAACAUAUAUAAUCAAGUAUGAAAUGAAAUUUGAGAAUCAAACCUGAUUUUUAUUCAGUAAAUGAGUUUAAUCUAACGAGUUCAAAUAAUUUGAUAUUUAUUUCGAAUCAAAUUUAAACUUAAAUAUUAAAACUUGAUUAAGCUUAAAUUUAGUUUCAAAUAACAAAUUUCAAAUUGAGUUCAAAUUUUUUGUUGUAUUAGCCCAACUCAAUUAUAUUCAUAGUCAACGAUGAGCUUAAAUUAGCAUAAUUCAAUUAGAAUGUCGAUAAUGUUUAGGGGAUUUUUCUUCUUGGCAAGAAGACGAUGAUCUAAUAUGUGCAAAUGUAAAUGCCUAAUAUGAUAUCCCCUAAAGGAAUCUAUCUGUUCAUUUCCUUAUAGAAAAAAAAAGAAAAGAGUUUGCCAUUUUAUUACUCAUUCUCAAUAUUUAGGUGGUGUUGCGUUUGGAGUGAUCAUUCAAUAAUCAUGGUGAUCUAUGAAUGGUGAGCAAACCACCGUAUUUAACAACCAUUUAGUGAUUUAACGUGAUGGUGAUCUUAAAUCAUUAAAGUAGUAUUUGGUAUAGGAUGAUCGCCUUAAAAACUAUAGUGAUGUACAAAUGUUAAUUAGAUCACUUUGCUUGGUAAGCAUUUGGUAAUCUUACGUAGUAGUGAUCAUAUCAUUGUCUUGGAGGGUGAUCGAAUUUUCAUAUAAAAAGGUGGGAAACAUUUAUCAUCUAGGUGAUGAAAUAUAUAAAAUUCGCAACAAUUAAUAUUAUCCAAUUAAUAUGCAAAUUAAAAUCUUGUUGCAUCUUAAAAUUGUAAUUAUUUUAUAUUAUAAAUUUUUAUAUUUCCAAACUAAUAUUCAUUAUAACAAGUUCAAAAUAAUUUUUUUUUUUACUUUUUUUAAUAUUUUAUAUAUAAUAUAAUAUUUUAUAUUUCUUUUAUUAUGAAUUUAAUAGAUUUGUUUCAUUUUUUAUUUUAAUUUUUUUUCAUAAUUUAUAUUAUAAAAAUAAAUUUACCUAUCAAUAAAUAUAUUUAUUAAUUUAAUAAUUUAAUUAUUUUUAUUAUAAUAAAUAAAUAUUAUUAAUAUUUUUUAAAUUAUUAUCUUUAAACAACCAUAAAAUUAUUAAUUUAUGUAACCAUUAUAAUAUGCAUAGUUAUUUUUGUGGUUUUAAAUAAAAUAAUGUUUAAUUUUUAGUAUUACUAAAUGUAGUGAUCUUUAAUUUUUAGGAAUUAAUCAUUGUUAAUCAAAAAAAGUUAUUUCAAAUCAGAAGUAUUAAUAUUAUUUUUGUAAUAAGAUCACCCCGAAAAUUAUAUUACCGAGAUGAUCUUACAAAAGAUACCAAACACUACCCAAAAGUGAUUAGAUUAUUGCCUUAAAAGGUGAUCUAGUACCUAUCUAAUGAAGUGAGAAACUUUUAUCAUUGAGAUGAAAUGGUAUGUAAAAUUAAUAAUAGUAAAUAUUAUCUAUUUAAUAUGUGAAUUAAAAACUUACUUUUUUAAAAAAUUAAUUGUUAUUAUUUUAUAUUAUAAUUUUUAUAUUUUCAAACUAAUAUUUAUUUUAAUAAGUUCAAAAAUAUUUUGUAUGAUUUAUUUAUUUUUAAAAUUUAUUUAUAAUAUAAUUUUUUUAUUUUAAUAUAUUAGUUUGAUUUUCUAGUUCAAAUAUCUUUUUACAUAAUUUAUACUAUAAAAAUUAGUUUACUAUCAAUAAAUAUAUUAUUAAUCUAAUAAUUUGAUUAUAUUUAUUAUGAAGUAAAUAAAAUAUUACUAAUAUUUUAUACACAAUUAUUUAAUUUAAAUUACAUUGAAAUUAUUAACUUGUAUAACUAUUAUAAUGUGCAUAGUUAUUUUGGUACUUUCAAACAAAAUAAUGUCUAAUUUUUAGUAAUAUCAAACACAAUAAUCUUUAAUUAUUAAGAAUUACUGAUUCUUACCCAAACAAAUUGAUUCUAAAUUAUGAGUGAUAAAAUUACCUUAGUAAUAAGAUCAUCUCAGUGAUUAAAUUACCAUAAUAAUAUUGAAAAUGAUAUCAAAUGCUAUCUCAUAGUACAACACCUAAAACAAAACCUAUCAAUUUCUUUUCUCUUUUCCUUUAUUACAAUUAGCUAUUAGAACUUGUUUUAAUCAAAUAUAAUUUUAGAAAAAAAAAUUCAAAUUCAAUUUUGAAAAAUGAAAACUUAGAUACAUGCAUUGACCAUCAAAUCAAAUGUUCUGAACUUUAAUGAUUAAAGAAUUUUAUCAUGUAAUAUAUAAGCACUCUCUUACAUGACUCAUUUUUUCAAUUUCAUAAAUUUUGUAUUGGUUCAAACAAAAAAAAUUGUUAAUACUCUAAAAGAGCAAAACAUGUUCAUCAAAAGUUCCAAAUAAAUUUUUCAUUGAUGAAUAAAAACAAAUCAUCAAUUUUGCUUCACAUGAUCAUUUGUCAAAAUCUAUCUAAUGCUCAUACUGAUCAAAUAUUUCAUGUUUGGUCAGAAGUUGUUCAUGUCCUUCAAACUAUAGAAAAAGAGUUUCACUUAUCUAACAAAUCUGAUGGUAUCAUCAUAUAUCGUUCUAUUAAAGGGCAAGACUUUUGCUAUCUUUUUCUUACUUAACCUUAAAUCUUAAACUCUAAUAUCAAAAUAUAUAUAUUUUUUACAAAAAAAGCCAAGGCUUAGGGAUAGAUAAAGGAAUUGUAAGUCUUGGAUUCAAAUCUUAAACUUAUUAAAUGCCAUCUCUUAAGGAUGAAUGCAUGAAUUAAUUAAGUUAAGUUUCGAAUUAAAAAAAAAACAUAUAUUUAAUGACAAAUAAUUCAAAUAAGAAAUCAAAUUUGAUCUAUCAAUAGAUUCACUUGAAUCAAAAAAAUAUUUUUAAAGUAAUUUUGAUUGAAAAAUCUAAAAAAAGUGUAAGAGUUACACUAGUGUAAGUGAAUCCCUCUUCAUAUGUAUAUUAUGUAGGGAGAGAAGGGAUCCAUUUACUGCAGUGUUACAUUUUUUUUUCACCAUUAGGUUUGGAUUAAAAUAAAUAUUUUAAAUCUUAACCAUUUUGAUCUAAGGAUCAGAAAAAAAAAAGUACAACACGUACAUUAAUGUAACUAGAUCUCUACCCAUAAUAUAUAUAUAUAUAUAUGAUAGCCAACUUAAAAAAAAGUGUAAGAGUUACACUAGUGUAAGUGAAUCCCUCUUCAUAUGUAUAUUAUAUAGGGAGAGAAGGGAUCCAUUUACUGCAGUGUUACAUUUUUUUUUCACCAUUAGGUUUGGAUUAAAAUAAAUAUUUUAAAUCUUAACCAUUUUGAUCUAAGGAUCAAAAAAAAAAAAAGUACAACACGUACAUUAAUGUAACUAGAUCUCUACCCAUAUAUAUAUAUAUAUAUGAUAGCCAACUUAUACUAGUGUAAAAUUGUUUAGUUUAUAAUUUUUUUUAAUCACUAAUUUCAAUAGAUCCAAAGAUGAGAGAAACAACUCAAAUAGAGAAAAAAAUAAAUUAAAUUUUAUUUCUUAGAUUUAUUGAAAUCAAUAAUUAAAAAAAAUUUAAAACCAAAAAAAUUUUUACAUUGACGUAAGUUGAUCACUUCUUUUAUAUAGAGAGAGUAGAGAUCCACUUAUAUUAGUGUAACUUUUACAUUUUUUUUAGACUUUUGGAUCAAAAUUACUAAAUUUAAAAAUAUUAUUUUGAUUCAAAUGAGUCAUGAAUUUAAUUUUGAUCUAAGGGUUCAAAAAAGUGUAGGAGUUACAUUAUUGUAAUUUAUCAUAACAAGACCGCUAGAUGAAUUAUAAGAAAUCAAACCAAAACUGGAGAGUCACCAUCAAUCUUUUUUCGCUAGGUGUGAAAAUUUUGUCUUUCUAAUAAAAUUUUAAAAUUAAUUAAAACUUAUUAAAGAGAUAAUUUCUUGUUUAGUUUGCGAAAAUAAAUUUGGGUUCAAAAGUUCAAUUACGCAUGAUGAAGAAUUAGUAUCCCAUAACAUUUGUUUUAAAAAUGGUACUAACUAAUCGCAUGUUAUUCUUUUAUUUUGAUAAAAAUAGUCUUACUUUUAAUAUUUAAAAUAAUUCUCUUAAUUUUUUAUUUUUUUGUAAAAAUCUUUUUAUAAACCUUUUAUUUAGAAUUAUAGACACUCCAUUUCAUGUAAGGCUGGUAAUUAAAUUUCGGUUUAGAUUUCAUCUAGAUUAUUGAGCUUUCAAGGUGCCUAUUGGGUCUUUAAAUUGGUGUGGAAUAAUUGGGCUUUAAAUUGAUCUUAGGUUUUAAGCCCAACGUAUAGUUCUUCUGGUGUCUAGGUUUAAAGCCUAUCAUAUAAUUGCAUUCUUAUGUUUUUUCAUUUUAUAGCCUUAAUAAAAAUUCAAUCAAAAAAUAAAAAAUAAAAAGAAAUUUUAGAGUUUAAUCCAAAAAUUAGAGUUACUUAAAACUAGAAAUCAAAUUAGAAAAUCACUGAUCACAAUCAAACAAAAAAAUUAAAGCCCUAAGAAUCAAGCCACGAUUUAAAUCAAAUCUGUUUAUGGUAGAUUCAAUCUUUGAUAAUGAAACCCUAAAAUUUCUUAUGAAAAAGCCUAUAUAAAUCAUGCUCAAAACCAUAAAAAAGAAAUAGAGAAAAUUGAUAAAAAAAAUUGUAGUAAUUUUUGGCGUGAAAAGAUAUAUUGGUUUUUGGCAUAGUUAUGGGAUUUUUAUUUUUAUGAGCCAUUUUUCAUCUUGAAAUUUUGGUGUAGUUUCUAGGUUAAUCUUUAAGGUGGUGUCGAAUUUCUAUAAUAAAGUGAUUUUUCUAAGAUUUUUUGGUAAUUUGUAGCGUUUAGGUUUCUAGGUUUUUUUUUUUCGAAAACUAGACUUUUUCAACAAAGUUUAAGUUUCUGGUGGUCGAAAUAUGGAAUUUUUGCCCUUUUUUGGGUUUUUUUGAAUUUCUCGGUGGGUUUAUAAAGAAUGGUUAAAAAGAAUCUGAUUUAGAAAAAGAGGGAGUUAGGCAAUUUUAAAGAAAAAAAAAGAAACUUAACUUUUAUACAGGGAAGGAACAACACCGUUUUAGAGAAAAUUUUGAUCGAUAUAAACCUGGUUGACCCUGCAUUUUAAACCUGACCCGAUUGCAGGUAUUUGUUUUUAUUUUUCGUUUUUUUUUUGUUUUAAUUUUUUUCUUUUCUUUUUUGGUUUUAUUUUAUAUUAUUUUUAUUUAUUUAUUUAUGUAUUUAUUAUUAUUAUUAUUAUUAUUAUUAUUAAUUAUAGAUUGAAUAGCUUGUUUUUGUAAGAUGUCUUUAUGAAUUUCAUUUUAUUAUUUAUUCAUUUAAAAAAAUAAAAAAAUUUUGAAAAUAAAUUCAUGAAUAUUAUCAAACUGUUGGAGGAUUUUACCAAUUAUUUUUUUGAAUAAAAUAUAUUAAUGAAUCCGACGACGGAGCAUCUUAAGAAUGAAACAUUAGUUUUUAUAAAUAUUUUUGAGGUGCAAAAAUUAUCUUAAAUUAUUAUCAAACUAUUUGAGUAAUUUUAGGAUCAAUUUCUAAUAAUAAAUUAUUUGGUAAAAUUGUAAAAAUAUCUUAAGGCUUGGAUUAUUUGAAAUCAAACUGGUAUCAUCUUUUAGAUGGGUACUGUGAAGGUGCUAUAAAUUUUUUCUCAUGUAAUUGCACUCAUGAAUCUAAAAUCUAGUUUCGUACACUAGAAUUACUAUUUAUAGAUAUGUACAUCAAACUUGAAACUUUUCUUUAAAUGAGAUAGAUACAGUUAGGUAGCUAAUCAUACCUAAAACAAAAAUAUUGGUGAUGGCUUUUUAAGUUUAUGUCUAGCGAUAAGUCUAUGGAUCUAUACGUUAUGACAGUUUGAUGAAUCCACUACAAAUAUAGAGAGUCAAGCCAGCAAAUGAUUUCUUAUUAUCCAAGCUUACUUAAUAAAUUUAAGAAUUUUUCUUCAUAAAUUUUUUUUAUCAUACUUGUCAUUCACUUAUAUGUGCAAAACAUGAACUCUACACCUUUUUUUUAGUCUUUUAAGAGGGACUAAAGUACCAAUUCCUUUAUGAGAUUUUAUAUCUUUGUAUGGACUAGUGAAAUACUCUUAUUCAAAUUGAAUCAUUUUUGCUUGAAGAAUGGACGAGAAUUAGGAUACUUUACUAACCUAUGAUAGAUAAUAAUAUAAGAAACAAUUUGGGAACCUUUAGAAGUGACUCAAGUCAUAUAUAGUUAACUUUACGAGCUUAAUAUAUAGAUAGAGCCAUGUUCUUUUUAGCCUUUAGAUUAAUCUGAAAGUUAGAGUCGUGUUGUUAUUGUAUUGUAUUUAUUAAUAUUUUUUAUAUUAUGAUAAUUAACUAAUUUUUUUGUUUGAUUUUCUUUCUUACAUAUUCAUAAACAUGCAUAUAGAUUGCAUAUAAUUAUGCCUUAAAGAUAUCUUCAACAAAAGCUUUCAUAGAACCCACAGAACGUCUAGUUUGUGCGUCAUCUGUGUUCUUCAAAUGUAAGUCACUUAGUGAUUUGAAGAUUGAAUAAAAAAAAAAAAAGGUAGCGAAAAGAAGAAAAUUGUUGACCACCUGACUAUGUCUCUACCUUGCCUAAGGAAAUGCAAUAACUCCUUAAACAAAAUGAUUUAAAAAACCUAUCAGAUAUAUAAAAUAACAUCGCUCAUUCAAGGCAGCAAACUUUUUGUUAGAAGUUUGAGCAUAUUGCACAUCUCCUAUCAAUAAAGGUUAAAAACUCACUCAUUAAGAUAAUGGUGCCAUUUUAAGACCCAUCAUAUUGUUAUUUCAUCUUUAAUGAAAUUGAUUUGAUGUCGACUAUAAAAGAGUAUUUGAUUAUGAUGAGUCUGUAUCUCUAGUAUCCAGAUAGGGUUAUGUGAAGAAGCAAAAGCUAGGAUAUCAUAAAAAGUUGGCCCAUAUUUUAAGAGUAGAAAAUGAGUUCAUAGAUUCACAUGUUCAAGAAAAAGAAGGGCAUAAAGGUAUUUCAUGAAAAUUUUUUGAGAUUUCAUUGUCAAACAUCCUUAUUAUUAAAGAAUGAAUGUGUUUACUUUAGCAAUAUAUAGAAUGGUGAUUUUCUUAAAGUUUUAGGCCAUAUUGAGAUAGAAAUGACAAAUUUGUCUGAACAGAUUAAAAAAGGAUGUAAUCCUUCAUUAGUGAUAUUGGCAAAAACUAUCAAAUCAUUGAAAUAUUAUAAACAAAAUGAUAAAGCAUGCUUGCUGGGUUGCACACCAUUACUGUAUAUGUGGAUAAAAAGCCAUUUCAAAUGUAAAAAGAGUGCUUUCUUCAAACUCUAUCUUCAUAAUCAAAAUCCAAUCAAUGAGUUUUUAUGAAAGUGAAUGGCCAGAAGCAAAGGCCAAAGAAGAAUGAGAGUAUUUGUUACAGAAGUUCACAACUUAUCAGGUGAAAUGGUUAGUCCUUAUGGAUGAAUCAAAAACCUAUACUAUAUCAAUGUAAAGAUGAAAUAGAGGCUCCACUUUUAGGCUUAUUAGGGUAAAUAAGCUAUACACUACUAAAAAAUAGUAUGGAACUAAAUAAUUCAUUCUUAUGACACACAAGCUUAACUAGUUUGAUUACUUAUAUGGAAGCCUAAGACAUUUUAGAAGAUUGAUAGCAUGAUCAAAGCCUAGAAGAAACCCAAAAGAGUGAGUCUUAAGUCAUUUAUUGACAAAGUCACUCAAGAAUAUUUGGUGUGAAAAGCCAAAAGGGGUAAAGAGGUUAUGCUUACUCUCAAAUAUUAUUGCCAGUCAGUAAAUCAAAAGUUAGAUAAGAUACCUUCAUAGUUAGAAUUUACAAGGAAAGAAUUUAAAGUUGAGAAAGACAAGAUGAAGCAAGAGAUUCAAAGGCUUUAAAAAAAAUAGCAAUAAAAAGACAAAGUAGAAAAGCUGGAAGUCAUAAUCCAAAAGAUCUCUAAAGAGUAUGAUACAAUAGUUUAUGAUUUAGCUAAACUUCAUCAACAACAUAAGAAGUUGAAAACUAUAAUUGAAGCUCAAAAAGUUGUUAGGAAAUGUAACAAUGCCCUUAAGGAAUUAAUGAAGUUGCAUCAAGAACAUGAAAGUCUAUGCAUCUAAGUGAAUGACAAAGAAAUAAAUAUCACUGAUUUGAUUUGUGAUAAUGAAAAUUUAAAGAGAAAAUAUUCCCAGAUAAAGGAUGAAUGUGUUGAAGCCUAAAAGGAGAAUGAGAUGCUUAAAGGGUAUAUUCAAACAUUAAAGCAAAAACUAACUAAACAAAUGGAUCAUAUCGUGGCACUCACAAAAGAGCAUAAGGAGCUAACCUACCAAGCAUGGUUUGACAAAAGAGAAAAUUUGAGAAGACAAAAGUACAUAGAACCCCUUGUGACUUAGAUAAGCAAAGUAGUGAUUGAGGCAGAAGAAAUGGUUAAAAAGGUUAAGGAGUUAAGAACAGUGGUCGCACCAAUAAAAAAACAUAUACAACAUCUGUUAAACUUUAUUGAAGAGGCAAAUAUCAAUAUGAGCAUAUUAAAUGUUUUUACAAGUGAAGAAUAAUAGACUCAGUGUAAAAUAGACUUUUGUUGAAUAAAUGAAAGUUUACUUUUGUUGAAAAUUUUUAAAAGGGUAAAUAUUUUUUUUUCUUUCUUUUUCAUGCAUUGCAUUCAUUCAUUUAGAAUUAAUUUUUAAUCAUUUUAGUUCAUAAUAAAACCACUAAUUUAAGAUUGUGGUACACAAAAUUCAAGAAUAGCUCAACACCAAUAUAACACUCAAGCCCAAGCUCAAAAAAUGGAAUAAGACAAUGCAAACCAUGUUGAAAAAUUAAAAAAAGCUCAAGAGAAAAUUAAGGGAGAGCUGAGCAAAAUCCUUAAAGCAUUAGGCAAGUUGAGUAAAGGGAAAGCAGUAGAAAAAAAUGUUUCACAUGAUUUUACUAAUCCCUUAUAUCCUUCGAUUUAUGGCCUAUAUCAAGCCUAAUCUACUCAAAGCUUUCCACCACAACAAUUCAUAUUUCCUAUAAGCCACACUUACUUAGAAAUGCCACCUACACCAAGCCAAGGGAAUGUCUAAAGUUACAUCAACCCCUGCCUUUACUAAAAAGGUAGUUAAACUGGUCCAAGUUUCCUAUUUGGACAACUUAAAAGAAAAGUUAAAAUUAAAAAUGAUUAAGGCUUUGAAGGACUCAAAAGCUUAUCAUAAGAUGAACAUGCUUGAAAAAAGAGUUAUGAAAAGUAUUAAUUUUUACAGUUCCAUGAUGCGGCUAGGCUUUGUCUAGUUUCAGAUGUAGUUGUACCAUCAAAAUUUAAGGUUCAUCAUGUAUAUUACAAUGUACUAUCGUAAGAUGGUAGUAUGCGCCAAUAAUGAGAAACUGUUCAUGUAUAUAUUUCAAGAUAGUUUGACUGAUUCUAUUACAAUGUGGUAAGUCCAGUUGGAUAAAACCCGCACUUAAUCAUUAAAAGAGUUGACUCAUUUUUUUAUCAACCAGUACUGCUAUAUCAUAGAUCUAGCUCUUGAUUAUUUUUUUUUUAUAAAAUAUGAAAAUGAAGGCGAUGAAAUCAUUUAAGAAAUAUGCCCAAAGAUAGUGUGACAUAGUUGCUUAGGUCCAAUCACCCUUAAUUGAAAAGAAGACAAUGAUUUUGUUUGUGAGCACUCUAAAGUUACCAUAUUAUGAGAAGAUGAUAGGAAAUUACGACUAAAAAUUUUGCUAAUAUAGUGAUUUUAGACGAGAUCAUUGAAAAUGCCAUUAAGAUUGGCAAGCUUGAGAGAGGAAAGUUUUUCACUACCAAGAGAAUGCCCAAGAAAAAAAAAUGAAACUAAAGCUGUGAGUUUUAAAUGGCAACAAUUCAAGAACUAUACUUGUUAUGCAUAAUCCAUUUACCCUACAUACUACCCAAUUAUAAAUAAUGCUUUAGCUUUCUCAUACCAACCAGUUCCACAACCCUCUUAUCCACUCAUUUAUCAACCAAUAUUCAAAUCAUAUACCAACAAAUACAACCCUAAUGCCUCACCUACUGCAAAACUCUUUAUGCGUCUAUCCAACUUAACAAGUUGUCCAAAUCAACCAUGAAACAAUCAAGAAAAGUCGACUUUCAAUCCCAUUCCUAUGACUUAUACAAAACUAUAUCGAGAACUUUACAAUAAUUAUUUAAUUGCUCCUCUUUAUAUAAAAUCACUUAAGUCCCCUUAUCCCAAAUGGUACAAUUUCGUUGUUCAUUAUGAUUACCAUUACAAAAUUGCAGGCCAUUCUACUAAAAAUUGCACCACUUUGAAACAUAAAGUGUAAAAUAUAAUCAAAGAUGGGUUGAUUAAUUUUGGUACCAGUGAAAAAACAACACCAAUAUCAGUGGUAAUUCAUUGUCCAAUCAUACAAUAAAUGAUUUAAAUGAGAACAGGGAACAUUGUAUAAAGAGGAGAGUAAUAAAGAUUAAGAUUCCAUUCAGUUAAUUAUAUGAUGCUCUAUAUGAGGUUGUGAUGGUACAACCAAUGAACCCACGCACUUAUCGUGAAAGAUACAUCUUAAACCAAAUGUGUGAGUACCAUAGUGGGGCUCCAUGUCAUUCUAUUAAAAGUUGUAACAAUUCUAUAAAGAGAUACAUAAGUUGAUGGAUUCUUAUUAAAUUAAGUUGUGUAAGAAGGAAAAAAUUUUAAAAAGUACUGAAGUGUCUAUUACUAAUAAGUCAAAAUGGGUGUCAAAGCUAAUAACCAUUUAUUGUGCCGAAAAGCCAAAAUCAACUAUAGAUAAGCUUAUCCCUAAGCCAAUGACCUUCAAAGUCCUAUGUCAUUUCCUCAUAAGGAUGAAAAGGCCAUGCCAUAGAGGUAUGGUUGUGAAAUGAUAGUUUAAAGGUAGAAGGAGACCACGCCAAGCUAAAUGCUACCAACAUAACUAGUUUUGGUGGAAUAACCAAGAGUGAAAGAUAUUAUACUCUGAAUAUGAUGGAAAGGGUAAGAAAGAGAAAGCAACAAUGAUGAAAAAGUAGGUUAAGCUUGAGCUAAUCCUAAAAGAAGACAAUUUAAGACCAAUGUCUAAAAAAAAAACUUGUGAGUUCUUAAAGUUGGUAAAACACAAUAGGUAUACUGUGGUGGAACAAUUAAACCAGAUGCUAGCUAGUAUUUCUUUGUUAUCACUAUUACUGAAUUUAAGACCACAUCACAAUGCUUUAUUAAAUAUGUUAAAUUAGAUUUAUGUGACGCAUAAUAUGUAAGUAGAGUAUGUGAAUCAUUUGACAGAAAAUCUAGUGGUACUACAUUAUAUAGCCUUUAGUGAUAAUAAAAUCCUACUAAAGGGAAAAAUAAGCAUAUAGGUUUUGCAUAUUAUUGUUAAAUGUAAAAGUCAUAUUAUAGUUAAGAUACUUAUUGACAAUGGCUCUGCUAUUAAUAUUACACCUACGUCCAUCUUAGCAAGGUUGUCCAUUGAUAUGUCUCAUAUAAAAAUAGUUAUAUUAUUGCCCGAACGUUUGAUAAGACUAAGUGUUAGGUAUUAAGAGACAUUGAAAUGCCUUUACAGAUUGGGCCUUGUACAUUCAAUGUAAAAUUUUAGAUUAUAAAUAUCUUCCCUUCUUAUUAUUAUUUAUUGGGUAGGUCAUGGAUUCACAUGAAAUGUGUUGUUCCAUCCUCCUUAUACUAGAAAGCCAAGUUUCAUGUGAAUGGGCAACUUGUGAUCGUAGCUAAAAAAAAAAAAAUUAUUAGUGACUUAACCUACGAAUGCUCUCUAUUUAGAAGCUACAAAAGAAUCAUUAAAAUGUUUUUAUCAAUCCUUUGAGCUUGUUAAUACUGUAAGUGAGGGGCCUAAAUUAUACCAACCAAACUUCACUAAGAUCGUGGUUAGUUAAAUUAUCAAUAAAGGUUGGUAUCCUAGAGUUAGGCUAAGUAAAAUACUAUAAGGAAUGAAGAAGUCACCAAUUAUAACAAAUAAUAAUGAAAGAUUGGGCCUAGGAUAUGAGGUUAAGGAAUGGGAACUGAAGAGGAUGCAAAACAACAAAAGAAUAAGAAAGAUGGCAAGAAGCAUGCCAAUGGUCAUUAUGCACUUGUAUGAAACCUUUAGGCUAUGAGCAUAUUUGUAUCUAAGGUAAGAAAGUUGUUGAGAAAAUUUGAGCAUAAAUGAAACUUUUGUCAAAUUACCCAUCUAGAUGGUAGGCGAAGAAGAUACAAAAGUCCAAGAAGAAGAGGUAUUGGUCUAUCCAUGUCUACCAAGCUUUGAACUAAAGAGUUAGAGUGUCAUCGAGAUGUCUAUUAUCUUUGAUACCCAUCAAAUGUAAUUAUAACUCUUAAUUGCUUAUGUCGAAAAGCAUUGGGAUGAUCUUUCAUAUCUGGGUUACUUAUCAUUUAUUAUUUCCAUAAAAGAGUAAGAGUAUACAUUUUCAUUCAUUUAUUCUAUUAUUUUUAAUUUCCAUUUUUCUUCCAAUCAAAGCAUUUCACUAAUACUUCUUAUUUCAUUUAAUUUUAAGUCUGCGAAUAAAUAUGAAGAAAACCAUGAUAACAAUUAAGGAUUUAAUUUUGAAAAUUUAAUUAAUGCUAAUGAACUUGACACUGAAGAUGACUUUGAAUAAUACACUUUGCUUCCAAACCUAAUGAGAACAAGAGAAAAAAUCUAUUAAACCUCAUCAAAAAGUCACUAAGAUGAUAAAUUUAAGGGAUGAUGAGAACAAGAAGAAAGUUAAGGUCGGCACAUCACUUCUAUCGACUGUUAGAUAAAGAUUAGAGGAUUUGUUUCAAGAGUAUAUGAAUGUGUUUGCUUGAUUUUAUCAAGAUAUGCCCGAGACUAGCACUAAAAUAGUGAAGCAUAGGUUACCCUUAAAACCUGAAUGUAGACCUGUCUAACAAAAGUUGAGAUGAAUGAAGCCUGAAAUGCUAUUAAAAAUUAAAUAAAAGGUAAAUAAAUAAUUUCAUACAGGCAUUCUAUAAGUGGUCAAAUAUUCAAAAUGGGUAGCUAAUAUAGUAUCUAUUCCUAAGAAAUAUGAUAAGGUAUAAAUGUGCAUUGAUUAUCACUAUUUGAAUAGAGCUAGCUCGAAGGAUAAUUUUUCUUUAUCUUACAUUGACACAUUGAUGGAUAACACAGCCUGACACUCUAUAUUCUUUUUUAUAAAUGGAUUCUCAAGAUAUAAUUAAAUAAAGAUGACCGUAGAUGACAUAGAAAAAAUCAUUUUUGUAACCAUGUAGGUUACUUUUUGUUACAAGGUUAUGCCUUUUGGACUAAAAAAUAUUAUGUACCUUAUCAAAAGGCUAUAAUGAUACUUUUCCAUGACAUGAUGCAUAGAGAGAUUGAGAUGUGUGUGGAUAAUAUGAUCACAAAAUCUUAUGAAAGAGAAGAUUAUAUAGCUAACCUCAAGAAUUUAUUUGAAAGAUUAAGAAAAUUUCAGCUCAAGUUAAAUCCAUCCAAAUAUACAUUUAAAACUAAGUUAAGAAAGUUCUUGGGCUUUGUGGUUAGUGAAAAAGGGAUUGAAGUUGAUCUUGACAAGAUACAUGCCAUCAAGAAUCUAUGUCCUCCAAGCACAUCGAAGGAAGUCUAAAAUUUUCUAGGUAGAUUGAAUUACAUCGCUUAGUUCAUUUCCCAACUUACCUCUAAAUGUGAUCACAUUUUUAAACUCCUUCGAAAGAAAAAUCUUAGAAAAUGGAAUGAAGAUUGUCAAAAGGCUUUUAAUAUGGUUAAAUAGUACUUGUUAAAUCCUUCAAUGCUAGUACUAUUUGUUUUAGAGAGACUGCUAAUUUUGUAUUUGAUUGUACAUAAGAAGUCAAUGGAAUGUGUGCUAGGGCAGCAAGAUAAGUCCAGUAAAAAGGAAAAAGCUAUUUAAUACUUGAGAAGAAAUUCACAAAAUAUGAGUCCAAGUAUUCAUCAUUAGAAAAAAAUGUGUUAUGUUUUGGCUUUGACAACUAAAAGACUCAGGUAGUAUAUACUCUACCAUAUCACUUGGCUUAUAGCCAAAUUAGACCCAAUGAAAUACAUCUUCGAAAAACCAUCAUUGUUUAAAAUAAUUGCAAGAUAGCAAGUAAUGCUCUUGGAAUAUAAUAUUAUGUAUGUAAGCCAAAAAACAAUCAAGGGAAGUGCCAUAGUAGAAUUUUUGUAUAGAUCGUGCAAUUGAAAACUAUGAGCCAAUGAAACUUCAUUUUUUGAAUGAUGAAUUAAUUGUCAUUUCUGAGUUGAAUGAGAAAAAUGAUAAUGAGAAAUCUUAGAAAAUGUACUUCGAUGGGGUUAUUAAUGCCUUGGAAUUGGGGUAAUUCUGAUAUCUCCUAAAAGACAUUCUUAUCCCAUUACAACAAGGUUGAACUUCAAUUGCACUGAUAAUAUGGCAAAAUACGAUACCUAUGUUAUGGGUUUGCAAAUAGCCAUAGAUAGAAAAUUAAGAUACUGAAGGUGUUUAGAGAUUCAGCUUUAGUCAUUUAUCAAUUAAAAGGAGAAUGGUAAGAAAUUCAAAGCUUAUCCAAUAUCAUAAAUACAUUUCAGAACUAUUCAAACAGUUUGAGGAAGUUCAUUUUGAACAUUUGCCCUAUGAAAAGAAUCAAAUUGUAAAUGCCUUUACUACUAUGGUAGUGAUGAUUUGGGUUGAUAACAAUACCGAGAUUCAACCUAUUAAGUUAGAUAUCAAAGUUAUACCGAUAUAUUACACCAAUAUGGAAGAGAAAAAAGAUAGAAAGCCUUGGUAUUAUGAUAUCCUACAAUACUUAAAAAAUCAACAAUAUCCAAAUUAAGCGACAAAGAACGACAAAAAAAUCCUAAGGAGAUUGGUUAUGAGAUUCUUUUUAGAUUGAGACGUUCUCUAUAAAAGAAGCUGAGAUCAAGUAAAGAAGUCUUUUUUUAUUAAGCCUUUGUUUAGAAAAGUUAUUUAAAAUUUUUAAUUUUUUUGCCUUUGUUUAGAAAAAUUCUUUAAAAUUUUUCAAAAGUUGUAUGCAUUUGUUUAGAGGAUUUUUUAAAAAUUGCUUGAGUUGAAUUGAAUAAAAUGAUUGUCUAUGUCUUUACAUCAUUUAUUUUUCACUAAAAUGUGUAAAAAAAAGACAAUUGUAGAAACUCCAUUUUGUCCAAAGCUUGUAAUUGAAUUUUGGUUUAGGUUUCAUCUAGAUUAUUAGGCUUUCAAGGUGCCUAUUAAGUUUUUAAAUUGAUGUGGAAUAAUCGGGCCUUAAAUUGAUUUUGGGUUUUAAGCCUAGCAUAUGGUUCUUUUGGUGUCUGGGCUAAGAGCCCAUCAUAUAAUUGCAUUUUUUUUAUUUUACCGCCUUAAUAAAAAUUAAACAAAUAAAAAAAAAAGAAAUAAAAUCAAUAAUUUUUUUGAAACAAAUUAGAAAAUCAUUCACCAGAAUCAAACGAGAAAUUAGAACCCCAAGAAUCAAGUCACAAUUUGGAUCGAAUUUAGUUAUGACAGAUUUGAUCUUUGAUAAUGAAACCCUCAAAUUUCUAAUGAAAAAAUCCUAUAUAAAUAGUGCCUAAACCUAUAAAAAAGACACAGAGAGAAUAGAGACUAUUUGGGGCUUUUCGGGUGUCCGUUAUUAUUUGGGGCGUGGGGGGUGGAACGGUUUGAGGGGUUGUUCCGCUGCUGGUUUGGCGAAGGGAACGAGCGUUUUCAGUUGGUGGGUGGUGAGAGACGGGAAAUGGGAAAUGGGUUACAAUAUGGGGUUGUUGGUAGUGGGUGGCGAGAAGCAACGGUGAGGUUAGGGGCUAAACAGUAGCUUAGGAUUUUUUGCCAAUUUUUGCUGUGUAUUGCCCUCCUUAGCCAUGUGUCUCCUGCUUUUUGUUGGUGAUUUUUUUUUUUUUUGGUGUUUUGUAGAACGAACCUUUUGAUAAAAAGACAUAGGGAUUCAAUUUUUUUAGAGUCUACUUGCAGCAUUCUUUCUGUUGAUUUUUGGGGUCUUAGGCUACUGCAUUAUUUUGGUUCAAGAGCUUGGGAGGUUUUCGUGCUAAGUUGUCAAAGGUGAAAUGGGGAGCUCAAAAUGGUCAGCUGAAAGUGGGAAGCAAUUGUGGGAGAAAAGGCAUGAGGGGGCUGCCAGCCCUCUUUUUUUUUUUUUUUAAUGAAUUUUCUUUUUUAUUAAUGUAAUUUUGUUAAUUUAAUUAAUUUUAAUAAAAUGAAAUUGGUCUUUUAAGUUUAAUUUGGUUUGGGAAUUGGGCUUUAGACUUUUAUUGAACCUUUAAACUUUAGUGAUUGAAUUUUGAGUUGAUUUAAAAUUGAAUUAAAUUGAACUAUAGAAAUAUAAAAUAAUCUAAAAAUGAUUAAUUUAAAAUAAAUUUGAACGAAUUUAAUUUAAUUUAAUUAAAAAUACUUAAAUUAGUCUAAAUUAAAAUAUUAAAAUUAAGUUUUAAAAUUGAAUAAAUUUAAAUUAAUUUAGAUAAAAAUAGGUGUUUAUAUAAGUGGAUCUCUUUAUAUGUAUAAAGAGAGAGAGAAUGGAAGAAUUCACAUAUAUUGAUGUCAGUAUUAAAUUUUUUUUUAAUCUUUAAAUCACAAUGAUUAAAUUUAAAAAUUAUGAAUUUAAUUUUGACUUAAAAAUAAAAAAUUUAUAAAUAGAACUUUACAUUUACUUUCAAGUUUCAACGGUUCUAUUUAUGUGGACUAGAGUAUGUUUGUACGAUAAUAUUUUAAUAGCAAUGUCAAAUUAAAUGCUAUUAAUUGAAUUUGUAAUUGAAACAACUAUUAAAAGAAGAAAAUUCUUUUAAAAAAUUUAGACUCUAUUGCAUUUCAAUCAACGUGACAUCACUGUUGGUCAAAAUAGUUGAUUUAUAAUUUAUGUGGAGCCCAAUUAAAUUCUGUUGGGCGCAUUUUUCAUUGUUCUUCUCGAUGCAAAUACCAAGAAUAUUUUCAAUAUUUUUAUUUUGAAAAAUUACAUUAUAUUAUUAUUUAUCAAACACAUUUUCACUGAAAAAGAAAAUAAAAAAUUAAAAAUUAAAAUAUUAUUUAAACCAAACAUAGUUUCAUUUAACAACACUUUUUGAAUUUCAUAAAUAGAGUUAAGUAUGAGAAAUUAAUUUUAAAUUCAAUAAAUGAGAUAAUUUUUCAAUGAAGAUAUAUGUUAGGGAAAGAAAAUUUUAAAGUCCGUUAUUAGAAUACAAGUAUUGAAAAACAAUAAAAAAAACCUUGUGUUAAUAGUUUUGUAGUUUGAUGGUAGAAUAUUAAGAUUUUAAAAAUUAUUAUGAUAAUUUAUUUAUUAAUAGAAUAUUAAAUUUUUAAAAAUCAUCAUGAUAAUUUAAUUAUUAUUAAAAUUAUUUUAUAAUUGAUUAUUUGGAAUCACUUUUUUUGUUAAUGGUAAUUAAUUUUUAAAACUUAAAUUAUUAUGUUUGAUAUUAUUCAAAAUUAAAUAUUAUUUUAUUUAAAAAUAUUAAAAUAAUUAUAUUAUCAUAGCACACAAGUAAUAAUUUCAAUAUUAUUUAAAUUAAUAUAACAAUUUAUAAAAUAUUAAUAAUAUUUUAUUUACUUGACAAUAAAAUAUAAAUAUAUUUAUUAAUAAAUUAAUUAAUUUUUAGGAUAAAAUUACAUGACAAUAUUUAAAUUAAAAAAUUAAAUUAAAUUUAUCACUAUCAAAGUUUAGUGUAAUAUCAAUUAAAUAUUUUUGUCGAUAAUUAUUGAUGAAUUGUCGAUAGAAUUUAUCGGACAUUAAUUCGUCCGUAAUCUAUGGGGAAAUAGUUGGAGGGGAAAUGAAAAAGUUGGCGUUAAAGUUAUGUAGAAAAAUUUCCAACCAUAGAGAUGCUGACAAUUGUUUCACUGACGGGCCAUUGACAAAAUUUUUUUGUCGAUAAAAAAUUUUCAAAAAAUAAUUUUUUUUUAAAUCGUAUUUUUAAAAUUUUUUAAAAUUAAAAUUUUAAUAAUUUUCAACGGAUUUUUGGGCAAUUCCACGGUAAAUUACUAAAAGAAUAAAACCCUAAAAUUUUCCCUCAUUUCUCAUUUCCUUUCUCGUUCCCUUCUCCCCAAAUUGUCUGGCGUUGCCCCUACCCCCACUCCUCUUCACGCCCUUGUCUGCGCCACCCCUACUUGCACUCACGCCCCUGCGCAAGCUAUGAACCCUCUCCUGUCCAACCCCCCCCCCCCCUGCGAGCUGCGAGACACCGCCAGCCCCGCUUGCACUGGUGCCCCUACGCGAGUUGCUCCCUCUCUUGUCCGACCCACCCCAUGCAAUCUGCUUAAUGAAAAAUCGAGAGAGAUGAUCAAUUUAUUGUUGAUCUCAUCUAAAUGAAACAACAGUUGUCGAAUAUCACAAAAUAACUAUUUUGCCUCUAAAUGAAAAAUCUCAAAAGUUUUUGGGUUUGAGUUUUGGGUUAAAAUUUUGAGAACUUGACUAAUUUGAAAAGAUCUUGUCGGCCGGGAGUUUAAGCCCAAAGCUUCUAAAAGAUGAAUUGCCCCAUAAUGAUUAAUAUCCUAAUUUUUUUACAUUUACUAUUUGUAUUUAAAAUUUUGGGGCUAAAUCCAAUAAUAAAUUAAAUAUUUAUUAGCACUUUUUUAUUUAAUUUUUAUAUUUGAAUUGAAUUUAUAAUUUACUUUUAUAAAUAAAAGAAUAAGAAUAAAAAAUAAUAUAAAAUUUAUUAAAUAUAGUAAUGAUAUAAAAACUAUUUAUAAAAACUCUUUUUCGUUAAAAGAGUUUGAUAACAUAAAAUUAAUAUAUUUAUAUACCAUAAAUAAAAAAUGUAUUUUUACACCAUAAAUAAUAAUAUAUGUUAAGCUAUAUAUUAAUAUUAAAUAUUUCAAAAGAAUACAUAAAUCAAACAUUCAAAUCCAUUUAUAUUAUGUAAUUUGUUAAUAAUUAAUUUUCGUAUAUUUAAUUAUUAUAAUUAACAAAAUAUAAUUAUGUUAAUAUAAAUACAUGUAUUAAAAUAUACAAAAAAUAAGUUUAUUUAAAUAAACAAUUAUUAUUUAACACAAUUUAAUUUAAAUUUUUAUUUUAAAAUUAAUUUAAUGAAAAUUUUAUAAAUAUUAAAAAAAUCUCUUAAUGAGGCGAGGGGCAAUAAUUAGUAAUAUUGAUUGUUUUUUUUUUUUUUUAAUGUUAUAGCAAUUUGAAUAUUUUGCUUUAUCUUAAAGUUAAGAUAAAUAAUAUAUCGGGACACCAAUAAAUUGAGUUUCAUUUAGAUGAAUGAUGAAAUUUAAAAUAAUAGUGAUAGUGAGAUUAAAUAAAAAUAAAUAUUAUAACAAUAAAAUUAAAAUUUGUGAUGAAUAUAUAUGAUUUGGUUACAAAUGUAUUAAUAAUGACAUGAAACAUUAACACAUCUUACAAUUUGGGUUGAAAUUAAGGAAGAUUUAUCUAAAAGUAAGAUAAGUCUAUCUUUGAUCCAAAUUCAUUAAACAAAUGCAGAAAUAAAAUGGGUUAGAAUAAAAAGAUUGUAUUCACACUAACUAAAAAAAGAGAGCAUGAAGAUGUAUAUGAUUAUGGUCAAAUUCAUAUAUGAACCACGAAAUUAUCAUAACAUAUAAAUAUAAAAAUUUAUAGCUAGACUUAACAAAAGUAGUCGUCACCAAUCUUUUUUAACUAGAUGUGAUUGAUCAUCUAAGGAAUCUAUUAUUUUAAAGAGCUCAUAAGCUUGACUAAGAGUCUCUAAAAGAAUAAGUCGGGUCUACUAACUAGAACAAGAUUCGGGAGUUCGAUUACAUAUGAGAAAGGUUAUAGCACCUCGACAUACCUAUCCAAAAAAAUGAUACCAUUUUAUUUUAAAUUUAUUCUACAAUCUUGAUUCUACUGAUUUUAAGAUUUAAUGUUUAAAUAUUGAAAAUAAUUUUUAAGAUUCUCUAUCAAUCUGGUAAAAUUCUUAAAAAUAUUUUCUCACCUCAAGAAUAUCCAAGAAUUCUAUUUGUUUUCUUAAUGAAGCUCCAUCAUCGGAAAAAAGAUUUAAUUAUUAUUUUUUUAUUUUAGUUUUUUUAUUGAAAAAAUGUCUAAUUAUUCUACUAUUUAGGCCAAAUUAAAAAUAUCUUCUAAUUUUUAAUUUCUAAAUUUAUACAAUUUGGACCUAUUUAGAAAAAAUUUUUCUUUUUUCUAUUUAGAGAGAAAAUAAUAUGACAAUAAUUUUUUUGAAAUUUCAUUUAAAUUCUUUCACAAUUUCAACAAAUUUAAAGAAAUUUCUCACCUAGAGAUUUCUUAGAAAAUUUAUCAUUUGAAAUUUCUAAGAAUCUCAUCAUUGGAUAAUUGUAACAUAUUUUCAACCAAAAUUUUUUAUUUUUUUAUUUUUUUAUUGAAAAUAAAUAUUAAUUAUAAUUAUUGAAAUUUUAUCUAAAUUAUUUCACCAUUUGGGACAAAUUUUAAAAAAAAUUCACUUAAAAAUUUUAUAAAAACUUAUCAUUUAAAAUUUUUAAAAUUUUAUCAUUAGAUAAUUAUUAUUUAUUCUCAAUUAAUAUAUUUUAUUAAUGUUUUAAUUCAUUUAUCAUUAUUUUAUUUAAUAUUAAAUAAUGAAAAUCAUAAAACAAAGUGAAUAAAUAAACAAUUAUGGAUAAAACAAAUGAAUAAGCAAUCAAUUAAAGAAAAAAAAAAGAACAAGUACCAAACAAUUAAAGAAUUUAUAAAAAAAAAAAAAGCUAAAUAAAAGUAAAAAAAGAUACCAAAGUUGACGUAAACCUCUAGGAUGAAAUUCCAUAAAACCAAUGUCCUAAUCUAUCACGUGACAUUUGCCUUUAGGCACCAUGUUUCUUCACCCCAAUUUUAUUUCUUGUACUUUUUAGCAAAACCAACAAGAUCAAUGUCUCUUUAAUCCGCAACAACUUUAAAAUAUUCCUUCUUGAAGCACUGAUCACUACUGUAGAAAUAACCUUCUCAGUUUCUCCUUUUUCUUUUCUUUUUCUCCAGAAUCCUUUCCAGAUCAACCACCCUAGAUUUUCAAGCUUCUACUGGUUUCAAUCAAUACUGCCAUCGUGCACUGCCACCAAUUAUCGAAGACUGUCCCUAGUUUCGACUGAGUGUUUGAUCUGUGAUCUUUCCUUCUGUGUUUCUCUCUGUGUUUUUUGUGUGAUCAAUGUGUAAAUUUAUAAGGAGCAGAUUGAAAAUUUCCAAAUUAACCAUGACUCCUUUUGACAAGAUUUCUACAUUAUCACAUAAAAUUCAUCCCACAAAAAUUAAAUCCAUCUAUAACUCUACCAACACCCAUUCAAGGUAGCAUUUGCCUUUUUUUAUUUUUUUUUACCUUUUUAUUAUUAAAUUUGUUAUCUCUUAAAAAUCAAAGAUAAAUAAAAACAAAUAAUCGGAUAAUCAACAGAAAGAUAAAACCUUAAAUAAAUAAAAAUAUAUAACAAAAAGUAAUUGGGCCUACAAAAUUGCCUCUAUCAGGCCAAGCCCAAUAAGUUUGGAUCUAAAUCAAAUAGAGUGUCUACAGUUGUCCCUCUUUGCGCAUUUCUUGUGCAACAAGAAUUAUGUAAAAACAUAAAACUUUUCAUGUCCAAAUAAUCAUCCUAACAUUUUUUUUUGUUUUAUUAUUUUAAUUAGACACUCAAGCUAGCUAAAUGACACAAAACUCUCAUAAAUAGAGGCUCAUAACUUUUGGAAAAAUAAAUACAAAUCCUCUAAACAGAGGUUCAAUGACUUCUAAAAAUAAAUAAAGCUCCUCCAAUCAAAGAUUCAAUGACUUCUGAAAAUAAAUAAAGCUCCUCUAAUUAGAGGUUCGAUAAAUUUGAAAAUACAUAAAGCUCCUUUACAAUCUCCUCUAGAGGAGUCAUAGAUUGUGUCUAAUGAAAUUUGUAAUGGAAACUUAAAUAUUCAUAAUUUGAGUUCAAAAUUCAAAGGUUCGUAAUUCAAAAAUUCUCGAGAAUCCAAAUUCACAAGAACCUUUCAACUUCACAAGAAUUCACCAAAAUUUGAUUAUCAAAAUUUUAGUUUAACAAGAAUUUGAUUCAUAAAAUUUCAGAUACGUAAGAUUUUUCAACUUCGCAAGAAUUCAGAUUCAUAAAAUUUCAAGAUUCGCAUUUGUGAGAUUCACAUUCAAAAUUUUAAUUUAGGGAUUCGUAUGCAAAUUAAAGCCACAUCCAACAUUUAAAGAUUCAAAUUUUGGAGGUCACAUUCGAAUUCUGAAGAUUCACACCCAAAAGAUUUUUUUUUUUUUAAAUUUUGAGGGAUUCACUUCCUAGAUUUCAAAAAUUUUGAUUCAAAAUUUCUUAUUUAAAAACUUUAGGAUUUCAUCCAAAAUUUCAAACUCUUUAUUCUACUUCAAGAUUCACAUUCAAUAAAUCUUAAAGCUUCACAUCUAAGUUCAAAAGUUCACAUUCAACAAAUAAAAGGUUCACAUCCAAAAAGUUUAAAGCUUUUCAAAGAUUCACAUUCGAAUUAUUUUUAAGUUUCUCAUUCACAAAUUUAGAGAUUCGCAUCCAAAAGUUCAAAGCUUCUUAUUCUAGUUGAAGAUUCACAUUUGAUGAAUUUUAGGGUUUCACAUCUCAAAGAUUCUCAUUUGAAACUCAAAGAUUCUCAUAUGAAAACUCAAAUAUUCUCAUUUCAUACUCAAAGAUUUUCAAAGAUACUUAUUUGAAAACUCAAAGAUUCUCAUUUAAAAACUUAAAGAUUCUCAAAAAUUCUCAUUUGAAAACUCAAAGAUUCUUAUUUAAAAAUAAAAUAUUCUCAUUUGAAAACUCAAAGUUUCUUGUUUGAAAACUCAAAGUUUUAUCUUAAGAGACUUCAUCAAAAGAUUCAAAAUUUUUCAAAUGGCUUUCAAACUUUUAUCAAAGUCAAAAUUUUGGAUAUAAUGAAUAUCAUGAUCAAUGAUGCAAAUGCAACAAUUUGGAUUCUCAUAGUAAUGUAGAUGCCAUGCUUUAGGUCAUAAUUCAAAUGUUUGUUGGCUAAUGCAUGUUCAAACAAAGUUUUAAAUAUUCACCAAAUUAUAUGCAUGUAUUGUUCAAACAAUGAUGUAAACAUAAUGCAUGUGAUGCAGAUACAUGUUAUAGAAUUCUAAUUAAUUGUGGUAAUAUGGUUCUCAAGACUAUUCCAUCCCAUAUUUUUCUUUUUUAGUUGCUUAGCAUUAGUUAUCCCAAAAUAAAAUUUUUCAACUGAUCCACAUCAUUUGUAUCAUUUGAUUGCAAUUCACAGGCUUUUCAACACUAGUAAUUUUAGCAUAAAUUUCUUCUAUUGAUCUAUACUAUUUUCAUCACAACUCACAAGCUUCCUAGAACUAACCAUUUCAGAACAAAUUUCAUCUACAUUAUUUUCAUUAUUUUAUCAUAACUCACAAGUUAUGUCAACCAAUCCAUCACUAUAUUCAUCACUUGGUCAUCCCAGAUGCCUUUCCAAAUCAUUUUUUUAGGUUUAUGUCAUCUUUUCAUUUUUUUUUGCCCUUAUCAUCUUAGAUUUCUUUUUAAAGGAAUACAAAAAUCUUUCAUGAACAUCAUCAUUCAUUAUCAUUUCAAUCAUGACAAAUAUAAUGUAAUCAUACAUUUUUUUAUUUAUUCUAAGGAUGCAAAAAUAAGAGAACGGUGAAUUGAAAAAAAGGUAAUCAAUGAAAAGCAAGUCUAGUACAAAAAUAAAUGGGCAAAUGAACAAGUUCAAAACAUGUCAUUAGGAUAAAUGGUAUUGAAUGGCACCAUAAUGUCCAAACAAUGAAUACUUAGACAAUUUAUAACAUUAAUCCAGAAUUGUUUUUCAAAAAACUCAUUCCCUUAACUUUCAAAAUCAUAUUACCUUAUUGAACCUUACUCUAGCUUUAAGAGAUCCUCAGAUGUCUUUGAUCUUUUAUAUAUUAGAACUGUUCAUCCAACUUUCAGCUCAGAUAUUUUUCUACCCAAAUUAUCCUUUCGAAUUUUUAAUUUGAAUCUUUUUUUUCUCUACUUUUACAUUUUUUCUUUUUUUUCAUUCAUUAUUGAUAUCUUUCAUACAUUAAUCUCUAAAACAUGCAGCAUGAUUCCAUGGUUUCACCAUAAGCAUGCCUUAAUCUAAUACAUGAUCAUUCAAUUUGAGCAUUUACAUUUGAUCAAAAUAGACUUUUAAAGGCUGUAAUGUAGGUUAUGAUGAUGGGUCACCAAAAAAAUGGAUAAAAUAGGCCCAAAUCACAUGUUUAAAAGGUCCAAACUAAAGGAUCAUUUUCAUCAUAUGCUGCAACUUGGUAUUUUGCCCCACAUCAUUUUUUUACUUUUUUUAUUCAUCUUAUUCCUCACAAAAUGAAUCUCAUUAUUUUGCCUCAAUUCAUUUAUGGUAUUCAUUUUUUUUUUUUGUAAAAAGGUUUUCUUUCCUUUUUUUUUUUUAACUCUACUUUGAGACUUUUUAAGAUUUUUUGCUUUUUUUCUUGUUCAAGCAUAUUUUUCUCAAUUUUCCCCCUAGUGUAAGGGAUGAUCCUUGGUUGGGGUUAUUCAAAAUAUAUAUAUAUAAUAGGCUCAAAAGAGAUAGUAAUGGAUGAUUUUUUGAAUGGUAAAAGAAAUAUGAUUAUUUUUUUAUGAUUAUUUUUUUAUCUCAAACGUGAAUGUUUUCCUUGAUAAUCACAUAUUGAACAAAAACAAACUCAUGGUUCUAUAUAAAGGAUUGCAUAUCUUCAAGACAUAUCUAUUUCACAUCUGCCAGUAGCUUACUUUUUUUUUUUGUUCAAAUAGUCCCCACAUAUUGAACUUUAUUAAUUUGAAUGAAUUUUCAAACUUAAAUCCAAAAAUCAUUGUUAUCAUUGUCUAAACAUUCAUCAUUUAAAAUUUGAGAAUGGGAAUAAAAAGAUAAGGCAAAUAGCAAAGCAUAGAAUAAUGGCUUGGAUGAAAGAGAAAAUGUAAUGAAAUACAUCAACUUGUCUUUUAUUAAAAUGAUAACAAAUGAAAUCUUACUUUUUGAAAGAAUUCCUAGCGUUACUUUAAAAGAAAUCUUAAAAUGACACGUAACUUCCAACUAUCCUUAACAUCCUUAUCAAAAUUAUGCCCUUGUGCAAUCAGGUGAAAGAUUUUUAUUGACAUCUUGUCCCUUAAUUCAUCAAGCUCACUAAGCUUUUUUGGAUCAAACUUUACAUUUUGUGUUUGAAAGUAGGGUAGGUUUUAAUAGAAUGACCCAUGUUUCUAUUAUGAUAUCGCAUUAGCACUUUGGAUAUGGUGGCUUCAAUAGUUUUAGAAUAACUGGAGAUACUAAGUUGUCUUGACCAGUUCUAGGAAUAACUUAGUGUAAGUCAUGGGGAUAAGAUCAACAUGCACCAUUUUUUUGGUUAUCUCAAAAUCUCUUUAAACCACUUACUUAGUUGUUAGGCUUUGAAACUGAUGCAGGCACUUAACAGGCUGAUUGGUAGGUUGGUGGGUAAGUUAGUUAUGGAUAUGGUUGGCCAAAAGCUUGCACAAUACCAUUAACUACAAGAUAGUAAAUAAGUUGAACUGGCAGUAGAAAUGAAACAUAACUUUUGUAUUGUUACCCAUCAAAAUUUAUAGCUUGGGCUUUGACUUCUUUCUUUUUAGGCAACCCUCUUUUUUUAGUGGUUUCCCUUUCUUGAAGCUUGCCACUCUUAAUAGCAUUUUCAAUGAUUUCCCUUAAAUUACCAUAUCAGCAAAGUUUUUCAUUACAUUUCUUAUCAUUUUUUCAUAAUAUGAAGAUUUCAAAAUGCUCAUAAACAGUAUUAUGGUCUCUUUCUCAAUCAAAAGUGGCUGAACUUGAGUAGCUAUGUCUCUUCACCUCUGGGCAUACUCCUUAAAUGAUUUAAUCACCUUUUUUUCAUAUUUUACAAAAUAAAUGAUUAAGAGCUGAUCUAUGAUAUAUUGAUAUUGACUAAUAAAGUCAUGAGACAUAUCACUCUAGAAUUGAAUAUGGGUUUCGUCUAACUGGAUAUACUACCUAACAGUAAAAUCAGUAAGAUUAUUUUGGAAUACAUGCAUUAACAACUUCUCAUUAUUAACAGAGGCAACCAUUUUCUAGCAAUACAUGGUGAUAUGAGUUUUUAGGCACUUUACACCAUCAUAUUUUUAAAAUUUUGAUAAUUUAAACUUUGAAGAAAUAACAAUAUCUGGGACUAACAAAGUCCAGUAGAAUCUAUAGAACCAUAAAAACCAAUUCCCUCCACUGCUCGUAACAUUUUCUCUGAUAAAUUCAUCUUCUGUUCAGCUUUUGAGCCUUCUAAAGUUUUUUUUUCUCCUUAGGUUUUAAUUUUUUUUAUCUUUUGGAUUAUCCAAGUUAAGAAUUGAUAUUGGUUUUACUGCCUUCUCAGUAAAGAUAGAAUUUAUAUAACUCUGGUACUAUCUUGGGUUUGAAACUGAUGGUAUUUUAAGAUAUGUAUAUCUUACUAGAUAUGUGAACUAUUGUAAUGGUGGAUUUUAUGUGGAUUGGGCUUGAUACGAUCCAAAACUAUGAGGAUACAGAAGGUCAUCCAUCUCUUAUGAUUGAUGGUCCAACUGGCUAAUAUUUUCUUCUAUUAUUUUUUCUUUGUUUAAGUUAUUCAAAACAUCCAGGAUUUUACUCAACUCGUCUUUAAGCUUCUCUUGAGCUUUCUCUAUCUUCUCGAGAUGAUUAAAAUUUUUUUGUUUCAUUUGUUUGGCUCGAGCUCUUGUAUUAUAUUAGUGAGUUGAUUGUAUGGGAUUCUUGGUUGGUGGAGCUAUCCCUGAACUUUAAAUACCACAAUUAUGAUAAAAAAUAAUAUGCUAUGCUUUAUGUUUAGUAUGUUGAUGCAUAAAAAAAAUAUGCAUUUUCAUGGAUGAAAUCUAAUAUGAAAAUGAUGUAGAUGCACAAUGUUUCGUAUGACAAUGAAAAUGAUGCAUGACAUAAUAAUGCAAAUGUACAAAGUUAAAUAAACAAAAUGGUUAGAUCACAAACCAUUUUUUUCUUAUGUCCUAUAUUCAGGAUACAUCUAUCAACGGGCAAGAAUGGCUCUAUCUUAAAGCUAGCCUCUUAAGUGUACACUAUAUGCAGGGUUAGGUGAUUUUGACCACUAAAGGCUCUCAAAUUAUUUUUUACAUCAUCGUCUAUCAUAGACUAGUAAGGUAUUCCAAUCCUCACCCAUCACAGGCUACCAAUGGAAAUUAUUCAAUUUGAGUAGGAGUAUUUUACUAGCUAUUAUAGAGAUUAUCAUCUCACGAGAACGUAAGUACUUUACUCUCUCUUAAAAAGGAUAGAGCCCGGGUAUAGAGCUCAUAUAAUGAGAAUGCAUGUGAUAGUGUGUAUGAAAGAACAUAUAAUUUUCAACCCUACAUAAAUCAAAUAAAAGAUAAAAAAAAAAUGUUGGUAAACAAAUAUCACAAGCUUUAGACUUUAACAACAUUAGAUCAAAAGAUAGGAUAAAUUUAAAAUUAUUAUAGCCAGACUCUCUAUAGCAUCCUUAGUGGAGUCAUCAAACUGUUAUAACAUAUAGAUUCGUAAAUUUAUAGCUAGAUUUAACAAACAGAGUUGCCAUUAAUCUUUUCUAUCUAUGUGUGAUUGGCCACCUAAGGAAUCUACCUUUUUAAAGAGCUAUUCAGCUUGACUAAGGGUCCCUAAAAAAAUAGGUUUGAGUCUACUAACUAGAACAAGAUUCGGGAGUUCAGUUACAUAUGAAAAACAUUAUAGCACCCUUACAUGCCCAUCCAAAAAAAAUGGUACCAUCUUAUUUUAAAUUUAUCCUUUGGUCUUAAUUCUAAUGGUUUUAAAUUUUAAUGUUUAAAUAUUGAAAAUAAUUCUUAAGAUUCUUUAUCAAUCUGGUAGAAUUUUUAAAAAUAUUUUCUCAUCUCAAGAGUAUUCAAAAAUCUAUUUGUUUUCUUGAAAAGGCUUCGUCGUAAAAAAAAUGUUUAAUUAUUACUUUUUAUUUUGGUUUUUUUAUUGAAAAUAUAUCUAAUUAUUCCACCAUUUUAGCUAAAUUAAAAAUAUUUUAUCUUUUUAAUUUCUAAAUUUUUCACCAUUUGGUUCUAUUUAUAAUUUUUUUUUAUCUUUGGAGAGAAAAUAAUAUGACAACUAUUUUUUUGAAAUUUCAUUUAAAUUGUUUCACUAUUUGGGACAAAUUUAAAGAAAUUUCUCACAUAAAGAUUUCUUAAAAAAUUUACCCUUUGAAAUUUCUAAGAAUCUCAUCAUUAGAUAACUGUCACAUAUUUUCAACCAAAAAUUUUUAUUUUUUAUUUUUUCUUUUGUUGAUUGAAAAUAAAUAUUAAUUAUAAUUAUUGAAACUUUAUCUAAAUUGUUUCACAAUUUAGGAUAAAUUUAGAAAAAAUUUCUCACAUAGGAAUUUUAUAAAAAUUUAUCAUUUGAAAUUUUUAAAAAUUUCAUCAUUGGAUAAUUAUUAUUUAUUCUCAAUUAAUAUAUUUUAUUAAUGAUUUAUUUCAUUUAUCAUUAUUUUAUUUAAUAUCAAAUAACAAAAACCAUAAAACAAAGUGAAUAAAUAAACAAUUAUUCAUAACACAAAUGAAUAAGCAAUCAAUUAAAGAAUAAAAAAAAUAAGAACAAGUACCUAACAAUUAAAGAAUUUAUAAAACAAAAAAAAAGCUAAAUAAAAGAAGUAUAAGUACCAAAGUUGACAUAAGCCUCUGGGAUGAAAUUCCUCCAAACCAAUGUACUAGCCUAUCACGUGAACUUUGUAUUUAGGCACCAUGUUUCUUUCCUCCCAUUUUAUUUCUUGUACUUUUUAUCAAAACUAGUAAGAUCAAUGUCUCCUUAAUCUACAAUAACUUUAAAAAAUUCCUUCUUGAACCAUCAAUCACUACUGUAAAAAUAGCCUUCUUAACUUUACCUUUUUCUUUUCAUUUUCUUCAUAAUCAUUUUUGGAUCAACCGCCCUAGAUUUUUAACCUCCUACUAGUUUUAGUUAAUGCUACAGUCGUGCACCGCCACCAACUAGCAAAAACUGUCCCUGGUUUCGGCUGAGUGUUUGAUCUGAGGUCUUUUCCUCUGUGUGUUUCUCUUUGUGUUUUUUGUGUGAUCAACGUGUGAAGUUAUAGGGAGCAGACUGAAGAAUUCCAUAUUAACCAUGACUCCUUUUGACAAGAUUUUUACAUUAUCACAUAAAAUUCAUCCCAUAAAAAUUAAAUCCAUCCAUAACUCUACCAACACCCAUUCACAACAGCAUUUACCUUUUUUUUCUUAUUUUUUUACCUUUUUUAUUAUUAAAUCUGUUAUUUCCUAAAAAUAAAAUAUAAAUCAAUCAAAAAAAUAAAAGAUAAAUAAAAACAAACAACUAGAUAAUCAAUAAAAAGAAAAAACCCUAAAUAAAUAAAUAAAUAUAUACAAUAAAAAGUAAUUGGGCCUACAAAAUUGCCUCUAUCGAGCUAGGCCUAAUAGGUUUGGGUUCGAACCAAAUAAGGUGUGUACAACAGCAAGUAAGAGACUACCUACAUAAAAACGAACUUCAAUAUAGCAUGUUCAACCCAAAAAUAGAGAUUCUUAAGUUUGAGGAGAAAAUACAACCUAAAAAGUUCUUAGAUUGGCUACAUUCAAUGGAAUGCAUCAUCGAAUACCAUGAUGCCCCUGAGCAUAGCAACAUAAAGCUAGUGGCCAUCAAACUUAAAAAGCAUGCAUCCUUAUGGUAAAAAAUUUUGAAAAAACAAAGAGAAAAAGAGGGCAAAAGUAAAAUUACAACUUGGGAAAAAAUGAAAUGAUAGUUGAAAAGAAAGUAUCUCCCAGACAACUUUCGAUAAAAUAUUUUUCUUUUACUUCAUAACUUGAAGCAAAAAGAUCUUUUAGUGAAAGAGUAUACAGUUAAGUUUGAUCACCUCAUUUUGAAAUGCAAAUUAGAGAAACAAAAAGAACAAACAAUUGCAUAAUUUCUUGAAAGAUUGAAGAUUAAGAUAGCUAAUAUGGUACAGCUACAACCUUAUUAGAUUUGAUCACCUCAUUUUGAAAUGCAAAAUUAGAGAAAUAAAAAAAACAAAUAAUUGCAUAAUUUUUUGGAGGGUUAAAGAUUAAGAUAGCUAAUAUGGUACAAUUACAACCUUAUUGGAUUUUUAACAAUGUAUGCAAGAUUGCCCUUAAGGUGGAGAGACAACAAAAGGAGACAGUGGUAACAACUUGAGAUUUGAAUCCCAAAAAGGCUAUAUCAAUAAAAGUGGCUCAUCUAAAACAUUUGUUCUUUCUAAGCUCAUUCCAAAGUAGCCUCAAAAGAAAAAUGAACCUUAACUACCAAGCCUCAAUCUAGUGCAUAAACCAAAAUGUGUUUUAAGUGUCAAGGGCUUAGACAUAUUGCCUCAGAAUGCUCAAACAGAAAGAUUAUGAUUUUAGUAGAAGAAGACUUAGAAAAAAAUAAACAGAAACUGAUUGAAGAGAAUAAAAAACUUAAAAAAGAGAAAAAGGUAACCUAUGGCAAUUGUGGAGCAUUCUUAGUCAUACAAUGCAACUUGAGUACCCACUUACUGAGGAAGAAGAUUGGUUGCAUAAAAAUAUGAUUCACACUUAAUAUACUGCCUAUAAAAAGGUACAUGCUAUUAUAAUUGAUAGUAAAAAUUUUGAAAACGUUAUUUUUACUUUUAUGGUGUAAAAUUAUGCCUUAAAAUGUUGGAUCAUCCCCUAACCAUAUAAGUUAUCUUGGCUACAAAAAGAGAAUGAAAUCAAGGUUAGUAAGAGGUGUCUGAUUCUUUUUUUCAUAAGAAAACAAUACCAAGACAAAGUGUAAUAUGAUGUAGCUUCUAUGGAUGCUUACCAUUUACUGCUUGGAAGACUUUAGCAUUAUGUUAUGAGGGUUAUUUAUAAUGGUUACCAUAAUACUUACAAAUUUGUGAAAGAUAGAUGCAAAAUCAUCCUAGGCCUUACCAAGCCUAUAGUCAUGUUAAAACCUAUCAAAGGAGAAAGAAGAAGCUUGUUUACCAAGGUCGAUUACAUAAGGGAAAUUAAAAUUAAUAGUACCAUGUAUGCAUUAAUACUGAUUGAGAAAAAUGGAGAUAGUGAAGAGUCUCCUACAGAGAUACAACCAUUGUUGGUAGAAUUUUAAAAUGUUGUUCAAUAAGAGUUACCAACUGGUCUACCACUAAUGAAGGACAUUCAACACUGUAUAAACUUUAUCCUAGGAGCUAUUCUACCCAAUAAAGUAGCCUAUAGGAUAAGUCCUAAAGAGUAUGAGGACUUGCAGUGCCAAGUUGAUGAAUUGGUGAGAAAAAAAAAUGGUGCGCGAAAGCAUAAGCCCUUGUGUAAUCCUAAACUUUUUAGUGCCUAAAAAAGAUAAAUCACGGCGCAUGUGUGUGGAUAGUAAGGAAAUCAAUAAAAUCAUGAUUGACUAUCACUUUCCUCUUUUGUGCUUGGAUGACUUACUAGACCAAUUACAUGGAACAAUUAUUUUCUUCAAGAUAGACCUAUGUAAUGGCUAUCAUCAAUCAAAAUGAGGCUUGGAGAUGAAUGAAAAAUAGCUUUCAAGAUAAGGGAUGGUGUCUGUGAAUGGAUGGUAAUGCUUUUUGGUUUAUCCAAUGUUCUUUGUAUUUUCAUAAGGUUUAUGACGCUUUUAGUGCCUAAAAAGAAUGGAUUAUGGCACAUGUGUGUGGAUGGUAGGGCAAUUAACAAAAUUACAAUUGAUUAUCAUUUUCUAUUCCAUGCUUAGAUGACUUGCUAGACCAACUACAUAGAGCAACUAUUUUCUUCAAGAUAGACUUAUGCAAUGGCUAUUAUCAAAUCAGAAUAAGGCCUAGAGAUGAGUGAAAAAUAGCCUUCAAGACAAUGAAUGAUUUUUAUGAAUGGAUAGUAAUACCUUUUGGUUUAUCCAAUACUCCUAAUGCUUUCAUGAGAUUUAUGACCCUUUUAGUGCCUAAAUAAGAUAGAUUAUGAUGCAUCUACGUGGAUAGUAAAACAAUCAAUAAAAUCAUGAUUGACUAUCACUUCUUAUUCUAUGUUUAGAUGACUUGCUAUGUUGAGCAACUAUAUUUUUCCAAUGGCUAUCAUCAAAUAAAAAUGAGGCAUGGAGAUGAGUGGAAAAUAACCUUUAAGAAAAAUGAUGGUCUUUAUGAAUAAAUGGUAAUGCCUUUUGGUUUAUCCAAUGCUCUUAGUACUUUUAUGAGGUUUAUGAAUCAUAUCUUUAAAUCUUAUAUUGGCCGAUAUGUGGUAGUAUAUUUUAAUGAUAUUCUAGUAUAUAACAAAGAUGAGGACCAACACUUAAAUUGUCUAUAACAAAUUUUUUGUAUAUUGAGGGAAUAAAAACUUUAUGCUAAUCGUAAAAAGUGUAGUUUCUUUACUUUCAACCUUAUGUUUCUAAGAUUUAUGGUGUCAAAUAAAGGAAUAAAAGUGUAUCCUAGCAAGGCUGAGGCAAUUUUAAAUUGGCCAACACCAGUAUCUUUACAUGAUAUCCAAAGCUUUCAUGGCCUUGUAUUUUUCUAUAGGCAUUUCAUUAAGGGUUUUAGCUAUACUAUGGCUCUCAUCAUUGAAUGUUUAAAGAAAGGGCUUUUAAAUGGACCAAAGAAGCCCAAUACAACUUUAAGCUCAUUAAAACGAGAAUCAUUUAAGCUCUUAUCCUAUCCCUACCAAAUUUUGAUCAAGUAUUCAAGGUGGAAUGUGAUGCAUCUAAUUCUAAAGUAGGUGCUAUUUUAAGCCAAGAAGAAAAGUUUAUAGCAUUUUUUAGUGAGAAGCACAAUGAAGCUAAGAGAAAGUAUUCAACUUAUGAUAAGAAGUUCUACAUCAUAUAAAGCUUUAUUCCAUUUGAGUCAAUAUCUGCUUGCUAAGCCAUUUGUCUUAUAUUUAAAUCAUGAGGCUUUGCAAUUCAUCAAUAGCUAGCACAAGCUUAACUAAAGGCAUGCAACUUAGGUAAAAUUUCGUCAAGCUUACAACUUCACUAUCAAGCAUAAAUUAGGAACUCAAAAUAUGGUGGCAGAUGCUUUGAGUAAAAAAAACUCCUAUUGGGGACUAUGGCUAUUGGAGUUAUUAGAUUUGAUGUAAUCAGAUGGUUCUAUGAAGUAAACCCUUACUUUGGUCGAAUUUAGAAAGAAUGCAAGUAAGGACCACACAAUCAAUUUUUGUUACAUGAUGGAUAUCUCUUCAAGGCUAAUAGCCUUUGCAUUCUCUCAUGUUCUUUGAUAUAGGCCUUAAUUAACAAGGCUCAAGAUGGUGCACUAGGUGGACAUUUUGAAAGGGACAAGAUAUUUUUUCUUUUGUAAGACAGGUUUUAUUGGUCAAGAAUGAAGAGAGAUAUGACGAAACACCUUUAACGAUAUAGAGUGUGCCACAUUGCUAAGAGUUAUGGGCAAAACAUUGGAUUGUAUACUCUACUACCCAUGCCUAGUACUCUUUGGGAGGAUGUUAGUUUAGACUUACUAGUAAGACUACCGAGAACUCAAAGGAACAAAGACUCUAUCAUAGUGGUUAUGGAUCAUUUUUCCAAGAUGGUCCAUUUCAUUCUUUGUACCAAAACUAUAAAUGCUUCUCAUGUUUUUUCUUUAUAUUUCAAAAAAAUUAUGAGGUUACAUGAAGUUCCUAGAUCCAUGAUGUCUGAUCGAAUUCUAAGUUUUUUAGUCAUUUUUAGCGCACUUUUUGAAAGAAGCUUGACACCAAUCUUAAGUAUAGUUCUUCUUAUCAUCUUCAAACAGAUGGUUAAACGAAAAUAACUAACUGCAGCUUGGGCAACCUUUUAAAAAGUUAUAUGGGAAAGGAUAUCAAGCAAUGUGAUCUUAUUUUACCUUAAGUAGAGUUUUGUCUAUAAUCACUCACCAAGCCAAACCACUGGUUGCAACCUUUUUGAAGUGAUGUGUGGUAAGAAUCUAAUUAGCCUUUUAGAUUUGGUUCUUCUCCCUACUAAUCAACAAUUUAGUAGAGAUCCAAAAGAAAUAGCUAAAGGUAUCAAAUGACUACAUGAGCAAGUGAGAGUUAGGAUUUUAUAGCAAAAUGAAAAAUAUAAAAGGGUAAAGAACAAGCAUCAAAGACAUGUAGAGUUAAAAAAAGGUGACUUGGUGUGGAUUAACUUAUAGAAAGAGAGAUUUCUUUCAGAAAAGUUUAGCAAGUUACAACCUAAGGUAGAUGGUCCAUUUAGAUUUAUCCAACGUAUUAAGGAAAAUGCCUGUAAGAUAGAACUUUCUGACACUUAUGGAGUAUCUCCUACCUUCAAUGUUGUUGAUUUGACACCCUAUCAUGGCGAGAAAACUAAUUCAUACUUGAUUAUAAGUCUUUUCCAACCAAAGGAGAUUGACACCAGAGUAUUAACACAUCUUACAACUUAGGCUGAAAAUAAAGAGGAUUUAUCCAAAAAUAAGAUAAGCCUAUCCUUGGUCCAAAUCCACUAAACAAAUGUAGAUGUAUGAAGAUGGAUAGCAUAAAGAGAUUGUAUUCACACUAACUGAAAAAAAAUAAAAACAUGAAAAUAGAUAGGAUUAUGGUCAGAUUCAUAGAUGAACCUAAACACUAAAUAUUAAACACAUUAUCAAUAUGCAAAAUUGUAAUUUGCAGGAGCAAAUGAGUAGCUAAUUAUGCAUCAAUUUAGCAAUCUAAAAAAGGCAAUCUUUGAAACUCCCAUACUUUGAGGGAUGUUCCUAGUCGAUUUAUGUUCUGUUAUUUUUUGUAAAAAGCAAAAUGGAGUUUUUUUUAUCUUUAAGUAAUUUUUUAGAUUGUUUUCAAGUUCUAUAUAUCUUAGGUAAAUUUUCUAGAGUGACAAAUUUUUAUAAUUUUGCAUCUUUGAUUAGAAUUUUUAUGGUAGUAUUUUUGUACCCUUGACGCAAUAUUUGGACAAAUAUUAAUAAAGGAAAGGAAACGAAAGGAAAGGAAAAGCAAAGAAAAGAAAGUUUUUUUUAAGAAAAAAAAAAAGAUACAUGUACCUAUUGUUUGGAUAAUUAAAAUUAAUAAUAAAAAAAAUUUAACAACCAUUGUUUAGAUAAAAAGUGAAAAUAAAAAAAAAGAUUUAUUAUAAUAAUUGUUUUCAAUUAUAAUCUUUAAUUGCUUAUGAUUUUAAAAUACUUUUGGAUAUAAUAAUCUUUUUAUAAAAAUAAAUUUUUUUCAACUUUUCUUUACUUAGCUUUUUUCCCAAAAUGGGGUAUUAAAAAAAUAAGAUUACAAGAGAAACAAAAAAUUAUUAAAUUUUUACCUCUUUUAUUUUUUUCAAAUUAAAAAUUUAUUCAAACAAAAAAUGAUUUUUCUAAUUCUAUUACUUUCUUUUAUUUUUCCUUUCUUUCUUUCCCCUCCCAUCAGUCCAAAUAUAAUGUUAAUGUCUAGUCUCAAUAUUCUAUCAUUAUUUAAAUUUUUAUAUGUUAUCUUUUUUUAAUUUUUUUAUUUAUAAUUAAUUUUUAAUAUCUCAACCAUCAAUUCUCUUAAUCAAAUAACGAUAAGAUAAAUAUAACAAUUGACUGUCCUAUCAAUGACAAUCAAUCGUGGUCAUAAUUGAAAUGUCUUCAUUUUCAUUUUUAUAUGAUUGUCCUAUGAAAACCUGGGAUCAACGAACCAUGGACAUUUCCAUUGAAAGGGCACCGAGACCAACUAUACUGUGGGCAGCUACACAAAUGCACUCCAUGAUACAAUUGACUGCAAAAAAAUCCUAAAUUCCAUCACACCAGAGUUGCAAUGAAUUCCAAACUAACCCAAAAUCUAUUUGAUGCUUAACAGUUGAAGACAAUCUAUCAAAGAAAAAAAAAAAGUAGUCGAAGAUAAAUUUCUCGAAAAGGAAAAAAAAAUAGUUGAAGACAAAUUACUUUGGGUUCACUUCCAUCUCUUUUUUUUAUUUAAUUUUUAAUCUAUUCUUAAAUUUUUUUACUUUUAUAUUUAUCUGAUAAAAAAGAUAUUAGACAUAAAUUUUUUAAAAUUUAUAAUUUCAAACAUCAAUUCAAAUAUUAUAUCAAUUAAUCAAAAUAUUAAAAAAAAACUUUCUUUACCUGUUAAAAAAAAAAAAAAAAACCAAUCCAAAUAUCAAUAAAAAAAAACUCUUUUAUCACUUAAAAACCAGUAAAGAAACAGAUAAUCGAUGGUCGUCUAAAGAAAUUGAGUAUGUUUUUAACUAUUUUAAUUUAGUAUCUUUCCCACGGUUUUCUCCAUCGUCAGCACUCAAUCUUACCCGGUAUCUAUCAAGUUCCAAUGCUUUCCACCUAACUUCCUGGUAACCUAGAUUAAGUAGAAGGUUCGAAAAAUAUCAAAAGACAAAAAGUAAUAACAAAGCGCACGAUUGGGCAUGGUAGUUGGAUCUGCCUUUUUCUUUCUUCCUUAUCAAUUUUGAUGAUUAACCCAAGGACGAAUUUUGAUACCAUUGACGAACGCAGAGCCUGAUUGCAAGAUUGGGGAUGGAAUACGAUGCAGAGAUAAGUUUGAAGUAUAUAAUGUUGACUUGACCAAUAGAGCAUGCCCACGCAAUUAUAGUUUUUGUUAUCGUCUACCCACCACUUCCACACCUAUUCUUCAGUCGUAAAUUCAUGUUUCGUCAAAUAUGUUGGCUUCCUUUGUCAUCACAAUAAUAAUUGUCGGGGUCGACCAACUUUGCCUCACUAGAUUUGUUUUUUUUCUUUUACACAGUGAUUAUUGUUGAGAAUAAUUAAGGAUGAGCAAUCAAUCGAUAUGAUUUUUUAAAAAAAUCAAAAAUCAAUUUUUUUAAAAAGAAUUAAUCAUAAUUAAUUUUUUGAAUAAUUAAAAAUAAUUUAAUUGACGUAAAGUUGGUCGAUUCAAUUAAAAAAUAAAAAUUUUUCAUUAUUUUUUAUCACUAAUUUUGAAUAAUAAUUUUGUAAUAAUUUUCAUAUAAUAAAAUAAUUUUAUAAUUUUGACAUUAAUAUAAUAUUUGUCAUUCUUAAAAAUAUUAAAUACUUUUAUGUACAUUAAAAUUAUAUAAAAUAUAUUUAGAAAUUUACUAACAAAUCGAUUAAUCGGUUUGAUUAUUAAUUUAAUAAAUAGAAAACCCACCAAAUUAAAUAAUUAAACCAUUUUAUUUAACAAAUCAUUAUCAAAAUCAAACUAAUCAAAUUGACUUAAUUAAAUUCAAUUAAUUUUGAUCAAUUAAACCAAUUAGAUUCUUAUACUCACCUCUAAUAACUUACUAGAAGUUUUGCUUGAUAUAGGGUGGGAACAUGGCCUUUGAAGUUAAAGAUUUAUUUGAAUGGAUAAUAAGAUUAAAAAUAAAGAUAGAAAUAAAAUUAAUUACUAAUAAUGAGAUUAAAAUUAAUGAUAAGAUAUAUAUAUAUAUUUAAAUACAAAUACAAUGAUAAGAGUGAAUUAAAGCUUAAUGAGAAAAUAAAUUUUCCUUAAAUAUAUUAGAAUAUAUUUUGUAUAAAGUAAAAUUUUUAAAUUAUUUGAUAUUUAUGAAAUUAACAAUGAAUUAAAAUUAUUUUAAAGUUAAAUAAUAAUUUAUUAAUAAAUAAUAAAAACUAAUAAAAUAAUAAUAUAUCAAUAUUUUUAAAAAAAUAAUAAUAUAUUUACAUAAAUCAUAAUAAUCUAAAAAGAUAAUAAUCAAUUUUUUAUGGAAAAUAAUAAUUAUUUUUUAUUCAAAAUAAAAAUUUUAUCGUAUGUUAUUAUUAAAUGGAUCAUACCAUAUUAUAAUAUAAUUCAAUAAGUAGCAUUUUAAAUAGAAAUAAAAAAAUUGAAUAAAUUUGUAUUUGGCAUAAUUGCUUCGAUGAUAUUAGUUGGCUAAUGCAUUUUUAAAAUAUUAUUAUAUUCUUCUGUUUUUCAUUAUCUUUCUUUAUUUGGUCUCCUUGAAAAACUAUCAAUUCUUUCGUGUGGGAGGAAGCUGCUUUAGAAUUAGAAAAACAGAGAAUACGCAGAGGAACAAAUUUUUUAAUUUUAUGCAAAAUUAUAAAGUCAAAUUCCAUUAAUUUUGAUUAUGUAAUUAAUUGACCUUUAAGCCCAAACAGCCAGGAGAGACAUAAGACCAGAUCCAAGAAGAAGACAAACACUUGCUCCUACUUGAAGUAUUCCAUUGUUUUGCAACUUUGGAUUCAUGAAAUCAGCAGCCAGAAGAUCGACAAGCGCCAUAUAUAUUAAGAUCCCAGCUGAUGCCGCGUUGAAGAUCCCUUCAACAAUAAGAGCAGUUGAGCUGUUCUCAUCGUAUACAUUUGAUAUGCCUAUUCCUAUAGCAAUUCCUACCGGGGUUGUGAGAGAGAAAAAGAUUGCCAUAAUUGCAACAGCUCGAGACUUGAAUUUUGCCUACAAAAACAUCCACAAUAAACCACUACUAAACAAAAUGGUAUUAAAAAAAAAAAAAGAACAGUACCAUCCCAAAAGCCAGAUAAUGACAAACGUGGGGCAUCUGAUUUCCCCGUUUCCAGUUUACAGAAAUGGUUGGAAGUUAUUAAACAAAAUCUGAACAUUUAUUAGUAGUUAUUACCCUGGAAAAUACCUCAGACGAAGAAAUGGGAUUGUUGGAGAUUCAGGGGAAAGUCAUAAACACAUAAAAUUGGGAAAAACAAGGGAUUGAAGAUAUAUUACCUGAGAAAUGCAUCCACCAAGUCCCAUGCCCUCGAAGAACUGGUGAAAGGUGAGUGCAGCCACCAAAGGUUUUAUAGUCUUUGGACUUUCAGAUGCACCCAAAGAUAUCCCUAUUAUCACUGAGUGCACCAGUAUUCCCAACUCCAAAACCUACAAAAAAAUGUAUAAUAUCAUAUUAAUUUUCAUCAUACUAACAUUUGAUCAAAUAUAUAUCAGUCUGAUGAUGAUUAUUCAAAUCUUUAGUGGAACAAAAGAAUUUAAAAUUAUCCAAUAUAUAUGAUUUAGAGUUUAGACAUGUUUGCUUUAGACAAAAAUUACCUGAGAUACUACUCGAUGUCGAAGAAGCUCAGAUGAAACUGAACGCUCAAGCAUAGACACAGAACCAUGAGCAUGGCCAUGAGUAGCAUGAGUAUGAACAUGUACGUGAUUUUCAUGCUCCCCUGUUUUCUCUUCAUCACCACCGUCACUCUGUUGGGCCUUAUUAAAGUGAGACUUAGUGUAGUGAGAAGUUGCAAACAUAUCAACCAUCAAUGUAGCAAUUGCAGCGGACAUAGCCACCAAUCCAGCGAACGGAAACUUCCCCCAAGGAUUUUCAUUGAGGCAAGGAGAUGUCAAGUUCUCAGUAGCAUCAGGAAGAACAUGGAUAAACCCUGUCGACAAUAUGACACCUGCUGCAAAGGCUUUGAUCAAGAAGAAAACAUUCUUUUCGGGACGUAAAGCCUUGAUAGUUUUCCCAAGCAGAGGAAAGCAAACCCCAAUAGCUCCAGCAACGAGAAUCGAAACUAAAGCAGCCAUCUUGUAUUUGAGCGCCAGUGGCUUAUUCCGAUCUUCAUCUUCAGGUUCGCACGUGCAGUCUCCUCGUACUAGGGAAGGAAGUAGGAUGAGAAAGCAGCAAAGAAACGUCAAGAGCUGAGUUUGUUUAAAGUUGGUCAUGGCUGGAAAUGAAAACCGAAUCCAAUUGAGG
This 40272-nucleotide long non-coding RNA is filed under the name Durio zibethinus. Its description in RNAcentral is "long non-coding RNA (DZIB_LNC000559)". The record is from RNAcentral. Lineage: Eukaryota; Viridiplantae; Streptophyta; Magnoliopsida; Malvales; Malvaceae.